Regulatory RNA element from Desulfocapsa sulfexigens DSM 10523, 59 nucleotides. It matches the Rfam family "Selenocysteine insertion sequence 3". The record is from Rfam. Lineage: Bacteria; Pseudomonadati; Thermodesulfobacteriota; Desulfobulbia; Desulfobulbales; Desulfocapsaceae.
CUCUGACACGCUCCAACGGUGGCCAGUCUGGCCCUCACAUUUGGCAGUGGUGCAAUGAC